GUGAUGAAGUUCAGUGGUGGGGCACUUGCCUUGCAUACAAGAGGCCCUUGGUUCUAUCCCUAGUAUUUCA
Molecule: transfer RNA, 70 nt
Filed under: Marmota monax (woodchuck)
Lineage: Eukaryota; Metazoa; Chordata; Mammalia; Rodentia; Sciuridae
Description: tRNA.Ala
Source: RNAcentral